Molecule: long non-coding RNA, 172 nt
Organism: Neomonachus schauinslandi (Hawaiian monk seal)
Lineage: Eukaryota; Metazoa; Chordata; Mammalia; Carnivora; Phocidae
Exons: 3
Source: RefSeq, a predicted model, not a curated record
CUGCUUUCCUGAAUUAACACCAAAGGAUAAUGAAGAUAUACAUUGCCCUGCAGUACAUCAUGCACCUUGAAAAAGUUUAUUGACUCCUGCUCUCGACCUGGAUGACUGCAUAAUUAUAGAUGUUUUCCCUUCAUGCCUAGAUACUCAACAAAUCUGCCUGGAAAUAAGAGAA